AUGGCGUCGCACGUCCAAGAAGACGAGAUUACCAUGAGCAGCGAGGAGUUGCUCCAAGCUCAGCUCGAGCUCUACCACCACUGCUUCGUCUACAUCAAGUCCAUGGCGCUCGGCGCGGCCACCGAGCUGCGAAUUGCCGACGCCAUACACCUCAGGGGUGGUGCCACCACCUUGUCUGAUCUUGCCGCCGACACAGGGAUCCACCGGACGAAGGUCUCCCACCUCCAGCGGUUCAUGCGCGUGCUCACCACCUCUGGUGUCUUCUCCGUCGAUGUCCAGGCUAGCGGCGCCACCAUGUACAAGCUCACCAGGGUUUCCCGCCUCCUCGUCGGAGUUGGCGGCGAGAGGUCACGCCGCUGCGACCUGUCCCCUAUUGUGAGCGUGUUGGUCAACCCGGUGCCCGUCACUGCUCUCUUCAGCAUACGCGAGGGGUUCACCGACGGAAAGAGCGCCGCCUCGUCGCUCUUUGAGGUGGCGCAUGGCUGGCAAAAGAUGCAGUUGACAAAUAGUAAAAAUCUUACCAUCCUUCCUAAAUAG
This 537-nucleotide ribosomal RNA is filed under the name Triticum aestivum (bread wheat). RNAcentral's name for it is "partial small subunit ribosomal RNA". The record is from RNAcentral. Lineage: Eukaryota; Viridiplantae; Streptophyta; Magnoliopsida; Poales; Poaceae.